GGUUUCCGGAGAGGGAGCCUGAGAAACGGCUACCACAUCCAAGGAUGGCAGCAGGCGCGCAAAUUACCCAAUCCAGACAUUGGGAGGUAGUGACGAGAAAUACUGGGGAAGUUCCUUGUGAAUUUCGUCCGGAAUGAACGUAAUAUAAAAAAUUCGAUGAGGAUCUACUGGAGGGCAAGUCUGGUGCCAGCAGCCGCGGUAAUUCCAGCUCCAGUAGUGUAUAUCAACAUUGUUGUGCUUAAAACGCUCGUAGUUGGAUUACAGAUCGCUGAACAGCGUCUUGCGAAUUAGCAGGGUGUUGGUGCAAGAGAAGCAUUUGCGUGCGGAUUUUGCUUGGCGAUCUUUUGUCGCACUGGUCCUGGUUUGCGUCUUUGCUGAUGCAGAUCAACGACCGGUGGAGUGUGCCUUGAAUAAAGCAUAGUGCUCAAAGCAGGCGAACGCUCGUAUGUAAUAGCAUGGAACGAAUAAAUUGACCGGCGGUCCAGUCUUGCAAUUCGGUUGUCGGAUGGGCCGCUAGACUCGAUCAGUGUUGGUUGGAGUUGAGGUCUCAACGGUUAAAAGGGACACCUGAGGGUACUAGUACUUUGUGGCGAGAGGUGAAAUUCUUAGACCCGCAAAAGACUGACUACUGCGAAAGCAUUUACCAAGAGUGUUUUCAUUAAUCAAGAACGAAGGUCAGAGGAUCGAAGACGAUCAGAUACCGUCCUAGUUUUGACAGCAAACUAUGCCAGCAUAGGGUCAGGGCAGUCGUUGUUUAACAGACAAUCGAACUACCUUGGGCCUUAAGGGAAACCUAGCUUUCGGGCUGCUGGGAGAAUAUCGCUGCAAGGCUGAAAUUUAAAGAAAUUGACGGAGAGGCACCACCAGGAGUGGAGCCUGCGGCUUAAUUUGACUCAACACGGGGAAACUCACCAGGUCCAGACAUUGGUAGGAUUGACAGACUGGUAGAUCUUUCAUGAUUCAGUGAAUGGUGGUGCAUGGCCGUUCUUAGUUGGUGGAGUGAUCUGUCAGGUCUAUUCCGGUAACGAGCGAGACCACGGCCUUUAGUUUUUGCAUCGCAGCAAUGCGACGCAAACUAGAGGGACCAUUGCUGUUUAAAGCAGGGGAAGCGUGGCAAUAACAGGUCUGUGAUGCCCUUCGAUGUCCUGGGCUGCACGCGCGCUACAAUGGCAGCAGUAGAGAGUGGCUGACCAGAGAUGGUUGGCAAAACUGUAAAUGGCUGUCGUGAUAGGGAUUGAGCCUUGUAAUUAUUGCUCAUGAAAGAGGAAUUCCUCGUAAGCACGAGUCAUCAGCUCGUGUUGAAUACGUCUCUGCCUCUUGUACACACCGCCCGUCGCUACUACCGAUUGAAUUGCUUCUAAAGCGGGCUGGUCUUU
Molecule: ribosomal RNA, 1376 nt
Filed under: Ceratomyxa atkinsoni
Lineage: Eukaryota; Metazoa; Cnidaria; Myxozoa; Bivalvulida; Ceratomyxidae
Description: SSU rRNA
Rfam family: Eukaryotic small subunit ribosomal RNA
Source: RNAcentral